UUUAUAAUGAUUUUGUUGUUGUGACUCGAGAGAAUGUGAAAGGUUGACAGGCUUUUCUUGCUAAUACCAGGAUUCACAAACAGAAAGCACACACAGAGGCAGCCAGUAGUACCCCAUUUGGAGAACGACCGGGAUCUGGCAAGUUGAAUAAGGACACUUUUGCCCACUUAAUGAAAGCCAUGGAUGAGUUGGAUAAUAUUAACAACAUGCCAGAAGGCUUGGACCCUUCAGUCUGGGAUCAUUUCUGUGCAACCAGACGAGCAAAAGUUGAAAAUGAACACAAAGUGAAGCAGAAGGCAGCUGGCUUAGUUGAAAUGAUGGCUUUCCUCCGGAAGAGAGUUGAGGAUGAUGAACAUGUGCAACGCGAGAUUGAAAAAGUGUUCCAUGAACUCCUCCUGUAAUGCGAACCUCUCAUUCAGGUUUACCUAUUCAGUCUUGAGCUGUCUCAGGUGGCAGUGCUCAUGGGGAAAAUGCCUACUGGCUGUUCAAAUCUGUGCAAACCCAUCCAUCUGAAUCCCUUUCAAUCCUAGCACUGGGUUGAAAAUUUCUAUACUAAAGAGCACAUUUUGUAAAUUUACUCUAAUUACUUAUACAUGAGAAUGCAUUUUAGCACAUAAAACAUAUAUGAGUAUAACUUCUCAUUUGUCUGGUUAUACAUGAUAUAGUUACUCAAGUCACGUAAAUCAUUUAUGCACAUGGGUAAUAAUGUCAGAUUCUUUCUACUAUCAUUCCAACCCCACACCCCCUCCCCUCCCCCUCCACUCCUGAAUACCACUAUUCUCCCCCACCAUCCCCUUGUUGUGAAUUAGUAUCAGCCUUUGGUUCUGGGAUUGGCUUAUUUUACUUGGCAGAAUAUUCUCCAGUUGCAUCCAUUUAUUGGCAAAUGCCAUUAUUUCAUUCUUCUUUAAGGCUAAGGAAUAUUCCACUGUGUAUAUAUACCAAUUUCUUUUAUCUGUUGAAAGGUACCUAGGUUGAUUCCAUAGUUUAGCUGCUACAAACACUGAUGUGGCUGUGUCGCUGUAGUAGGCUGCUGAUUUUAAGUCUUUUGGGUAUAAACCUAGGAGUGAGGUAACUGGGUCAAAUGGUGGUUCCAUUCCAAGUUUUCUGAGAUAUGGCCAUACUGCUUCCAUAGUAGCUGCACCCAUUUGCAGUCCCACCAGCAAUAUUUGAGUGUACCUCGCCAACAUUUAUUGUUGCUUAUAUUCUUGAUGAUUGCCAUUCUUACUGGAUGAGAUGUAAUCUCAGUGUAGUUUUGCUUUUCUCUAAUUGCUAGGAUGUUAUAAUAUUUUUUCCAUAUAUUUGUUGAUUGUGUUUCUUCUUCUGUGAAGCGUCUGUUCAGUUCCUUAGCCCAUUUAUUGAUAGGGUUAUUUGGGGGUUUUUGGGGUUUUUUUGGUGUUAAAUUUUUAAAGUUCUUUAUGUAUCCUGGAGAUUAAUGCUCUGAGUUGAAUGUGAUAAAUUUUUCCCAUUCUGUAGGCUCUCUCUUCACAUUGUUUCCUUUGCUGUGAAGAAGCUUUUUAAAGUUUGAGUCCAUCCCAUUUAUUGAUUUUUGAUCUUAUUUCUUUUACUCUUUGAGUCUUUGAGCCAAGGUAUUCAGUUCCUAGGCCGAUAUGGUAGAGAUCUGUGCCUACUCUUCCUUCCAACAGGCGCAGGGUCUCUGCUCUAUUGCCUAAGUGAAAAGAGCACAUUUUGUCACAUAAGACUUGUUUCAGUGUGUGGGGGAUUAAGACAUAAAACUAUGUGGAACAUUAAGCACAUGUCCAAGCAGUGACCACACAGACACCUCCCAGCUCCAUGUUUUUCAGGGACAGUGUUGUUUUUUAUUGAGUGAUUUGCAUACUCUUAAGUCCCUGCUUCAAAAGGUCACACUGAGGGCUGGGGUUGUGGCUCAGAGGUAGAGAGCUCGCCUAGCAUGCGUGAGACACUGGGUUACGGGGUUGGAUCCUCAGCACCACAUAAAGUAAAACAAUGUGUCCAUCUGUAACUUAAGGGAAAAAAAACGCCAUAUUGAUGACUUCAUGGAUAAAUUUCAUCUCUGAUAUUCCCAAAUUUAUCAUCAUUCACCAUUUUUAGAUCUAGACUUCUAGACUACCGGGAGAAAUAUGAAUUUUGCACAAUUAGAUUUGAUAAGUAGAACAUGGAUUAAAUAUUGUUAGUACAGUAUCAGAAAUCAAUAGUCAACUUUAAUGGACUCUAAACACUUGGCAGCAUCUCUAUAUUUUCAUUUUUAUUAUUCAUUGCACUAGGAAUGAACCCCAAGGGUCUUUAUCACUAAGUUCCAUCCCUAGUCCUUUUUAUUUUUUAUUCUGAGACAGGAUCUUGCUAAGUUGCUGAGGUUGGCCUCGAACUUGCAAUCUUCCUGCUUCAGGCUCCCCCAUCACUGGGAUUACAGAUAUGCACCACUAUGCCUGGCUUUAACUUUAUUUUUAUUACAAUCAAAAUCCUACCAUCUUUUCUUAAUCCUAGAGUAGAAAUUUGUGGAUAUAUUUCUGUCCAUAGUAUUCUCUGAACAAUUCAAUUAUAUUGCAAAUCAGUAGGAUGGAGUAUCACUGGGGUGUCCAGGAAAGCUAAUCACUUGGGAAAAUAUUCUUCACACUAAUCUCCAGGAUGUUCUUUUAGCUGAUCUGAAUUUUAUAUUAAAUUUGAUAUGUAAAUGUACUAUACCUACUUAUAUUAAAUUUGAUAUGUAAAUGUACUAUACCUACUUAUUUAAAGCCUAUUUCCAUUUAGAUUACAGGACGAGAAAGUGAAAUUCCAGUUGAAUUUGACCAUCCAAAUUCUUCUUAAGCAAGGACAAGUAGAACUAGAGAAUUUCCAACUAAUCCUGGAGUAUUCUGAUGCAAUUCUCAUGAAUAAGACCAUAAUUGAAGACUUGAAUUCUGUAAUUCGGGUAGUUAUACUUUACAUUAUUCCCUCAUUUCCAGGACAAAUAAAUUUUUUAUCUUUAUUUUUAUGUGGUGUUGAGGAUCAAAAUGAGCAUGCUA
Long non-coding RNA from Ictidomys tridecemlineatus (thirteen-lined ground squirrel), 2981 nucleotides. Lineage: Eukaryota; Metazoa; Chordata; Mammalia; Rodentia; Sciuridae. The record is from Ensembl.